CCUACGGGAGGCAGCAGUAGGGAAUAUUGGACAAUGGGCGCAAGCCUGAUCCAGCAAUGCCGCGUGUGUGAAGAAGGCCUGCGGGUUGUAAAGCACUUUCAGUGGGGAAGACAAACUCGAGGUUAAUACCCUCGGGUCUCGACGUUACCCACAGAAGAAGCACCGGCCAACUCCGUGCCAGCAGCCGCGGUAAUACGGAGGGUGCGAGCGUUAAUCGGAAUUACUGGGCGUAAAGCGCGCGCAGGCGGUUGGGUAAGUCAGAUGUGAAAUCCCCGGGCUUAACCUGGGAAUUGCAUUUGAUACUGCCCGACUAGAGUAUGGGAGAGGGAAGUGGAAUCUCCGGUGUAGCGGUGAAAUGCGUAGAGAUCGGAGGGAACACCAGUGGCGAAGGCGGCUUCCUGGCCCAAUACUGACGCUCAGGCGCGAAAGCGUGGGGAGCAAACAGGAUUAGAUACCCUGG
This 460-nucleotide ribosomal RNA is filed under the name uncultured bacterium. RNAcentral describes it as "bacterial SSU rRNA". It matches the Rfam family "Bacterial small subunit ribosomal RNA", at positions 338 to 790 of the family's 1533-position model. The record is from RNAcentral.